GACGAACGUUGGCGGCGUGCUUAACACAUGCAAGUCGAACGGAAAGGCCCUGCUUUUGUGGGGUGCUCGAGUGGCGAACGGGUGAGUAACACGUGAGUAACCUGCCCUUGACUUUGGGAUAACUUCAGGAAACUGGGGCUAAUACCGGAUAGGAGCUCCUGCUGCAUGGUGGGGGUUGGAAAGUUUCGGCGGUUGGGGAUGGACUCGCGGCUUAUCAGCUUGUUGGUGGGGUAGUGGCUUACCAAGGCUUUGACGGGUAGCCGGCCUGAGAGGGUGACCGGCCACAUUGGGACUGAGAUACGGCCCAGACUCCUACGGGAGGCAGCAGUGGGGAAUAUUGCACAAUGGGCGGAAGCCUGAUGCAGCAACGCCGCGUGCGGGAUGACGGCCUUCGGGUUGUAAACCGCUUUCGCCUGUGACGAAGCGUGAGUGACGGUAAUGGGUAAAGAAGCACCGGCUAACUACGUGCCAGCAGCCGCGGUGAUACGUAGGGUGCGAGCGUUGUCCGGAUUUAUUGGGCGUAAAGGGCUCGUAGGUGGUUGAUCGCGUCGGAAGUGUAAUCUUGGGGCUUAACCCUGAGCGUGCUUUCGAUACGGGUUGACUUGAGGAAGGUAGGGGAGAAUGGAAUUCCUGGUGGAGCGGUGGAAUGCGCAGAUAUCAGGAGGAACACCAGUGGCGAAGGCGGUUCUCUGGGCCUUUCCUGACGCUGAGGAGCGAAAGCGUGGGGAGCGAACAGGCUUAGAUACCCUGGUAGUCCACGCUGUAAACGGUGGGUACUAGGUGUGGGGUCCAUUCCACGGGUUCCGUGCCGUAGCUAACGCUUUAAGUACCCCGCCUGGGGAGUACGGCCGCAAGGCUAAAACUCAAAGGCAUUGACGGGGCCCCGCACAAGCGGCGGAGCAUGCGGAUUAAUUCGAUGCAACGCGUAGAACCUUACCUGGGUUUGACAUGGAUCGGGAGCGCUCAGAGAUGGGUGUGCCUCUUUUGGGGUCGGUUCACAGGUGGUGCAUGGCUGUCGUCAGCUCGUGUCGUGAGAUGUUGGGUUAAGUCCCGCAACGAGCGCAACCCUUGUUCACUGUUGCCAGCACGUUAUGGUGGGGACUCAGUGGAGACCGCCGGGGUCAACUCGGAGGAAGGUGGGGAUGACGUCAAGUCAUCAUGCCCCUUAUGUCCAGGGCUUCACGCAUGCUACAAUGGCUGGUACAGAGAGUGGCGAGCCUGUGAGGGUGAGCGAAUCUCGGAAAGCCGGUCUCAGUUCGGAUUGGGGUCUGCAACUCGACCUCAUGAAGUCGGAGUCGCUAGUAAUCGCAGAUCAGCAACGCUGCGGUGAAUACGUUCCCGGG
This 1343-nucleotide ribosomal RNA is filed under the name uncultured bacterium. RNAcentral describes it as "16S ribosomal RNA". It matches the Rfam family "Bacterial small subunit ribosomal RNA", at positions 28 to 1378 of the family's 1533-position model. The record is from RNAcentral.